AUACAGAGGGUGCGAGCGUUAAUCGGAAUUACUGGGCGUAAAGCGCGCGUAGGCGGCUACUUAAGUCAGAUGGGAUAUCCCCGGGCUCAACCUGGGAACUGCAUCUGAUACUGGGUAGCUAGAGUUUAGGAGAGGGAAGUAGAAUUUCAGGUGUAGCGGUGAAAUGCAUAGAGAUCUGAAGGAAUACCAGUGGCGAAGGCGGCUUCCUGGCCUAAAACUGACGCUGAGGUGCGAAAGCGUGGGUAGCAAACGGGAUUAGAAACCCCAGUAGUCC
This 274-nucleotide ribosomal RNA is filed under the name uncultured bacterium. RNAcentral's name for it is "partial 16S ribosomal RNA". It matches the Rfam family "Bacterial small subunit ribosomal RNA", at positions 523 to 796 of the family's 1533-position model. The record is from RNAcentral.